This is a long non-coding RNA of Ornithorhynchus anatinus (platypus), 296 nucleotides long. RefSeq lists it as uncharacterized. Lineage: Eukaryota; Metazoa; Chordata; Mammalia; Monotremata; Ornithorhynchidae. The transcript is spliced from 3 exons. The record is from RefSeq and is a predicted model, not a curated record.
ACUGAAUUCCCUUUACAUCUGGGGAAGUUUGUUCCAUGCUGGGUAAAACCCUCAAACUCUUCAAAGAAGGGAGGAGAAAGAGACUCCACGAUCGUCAUCCUCGUUCCGAUUACAGAAAAGAGCCGGUUAUCCCACCUGACUGGGAUGUGGACAUGUUUGGAUCACUGGAAGCAGGGCUAAUGGAGCAAUAAGAGGCUGGACUAUGUUGGAAGAGGUGCAAAGGAUCAUUCCUUCCAACACAGAUGGAAGCCAAGACGCCUUGACCGUGCUUCGACCUUGACACUUCACCCUCCUCA